This 494-nucleotide ribosomal RNA is filed under the name uncultured bacterium. RNAcentral describes it as "partial 16S ribosomal RNA". It matches the Rfam family "Bacterial small subunit ribosomal RNA", at positions 28 to 507 of the family's 1533-position model. The record is from RNAcentral.
GACGAACGCUGGCGGCGUGCUUAACACAUGCAAGUCGAACGGUGAAGCGCCUUCCUUUUUGGUGGGUGUGGAUGAGUGGCGAACGGGUGAGUAACACGUGAGUAACCUGCCCCCUUCUUCUGGAUAACCGCAUGAAAGUGUGGCUAAUACGGGAUAUUCUGGGUCUGUCGCAUGAUGGGUCUGGGAAAGAUAUUGUUUCGGUGGGGGAUGGGCUCGCGGCCUAUCAGCUUGUUGGUGGGGUGAUGGCCUACCAAGGCGGUGACGGGUAGCCGGCCUGAGAGGGUGGACGGUCAAAGUGGGACUGAGACACGGCCCAGACUCCUACGGGAGGCAGCAGUGGGGAAUAGUGCACAAUGGGCGCAAGCCUGAUGCAGCGACGCCGCGGGAGGGAUGGAGGCCUUCGGGUUGUGAACCUCUUUCGCCAGUGAAGCAGGCCUGCCUCGUUUGUGGGUGGGUUGACGGUAGCUGGAUAAGAAGCGCCGGCUAACUACGGG